AAGCUCGUAGUUGAAUUUCGGUGGUUAGUAGGUUGGUCAUGCCUCUGGUAUGUACUGGUCUCACUGAUUCCUCCUUCCUUAUGAACCGUAAUGCCAUUAAUUUGGUGUUGCGGGGAAUUUGGACUGUUACUUUGAAAAAAUUAGAGUGUUUAAAGCAAGCUAACGCUUGAAUACAUUAGCAUGGAAUAAUGAAAUAGGACGUUCGAUCUUAUUUUGUUUGGUUUUCUUAGGAUUGACGUAAUGAUUAAUAGGGAUAGUUGGG
RNAcentral lists this ribosomal RNA (262 nucleotides) under uncultured Glomus. RNAcentral's name for it is "partial 18S ribosomal RNA". It matches the Rfam family "Eukaryotic small subunit ribosomal RNA", at positions 624 to 886 of the family's 1831-position model. Lineage: Eukaryota; Fungi; Glomeromycota; Glomeromycetes; Glomerales; Glomeraceae. The record is from RNAcentral.